RNAcentral lists this ribosomal RNA (253 nucleotides) under uncultured bacterium. RNAcentral's name for it is "partial 16S ribosomal RNA". It matches the Rfam family "Bacterial small subunit ribosomal RNA", at positions 524 to 776 of the family's 1533-position model. The record is from RNAcentral.
UACGAAGGGGGCUAGCGUUGCUCGGAAUCACUGGGCGUAAAGGGCGCGUAGGCGGACUCUUAAGUCGGGUGUGAAAGUCCCGGGCUCAACCUGGGAAUUGCAUUCGAGACUGCAUUGCUGGAGUACGGAAGAGGAGGGCGGAAUUCCCGGUGUAGCGGUGAAAUGCGUAGAUAUCGGGAGGAACAUCAGUGGCGAAGGCGGCCCUCUGGUCCAGUACUGACACUCAAGUGCGAAAGCGUGGGGAGCAAACAGG